Molecule: ribosomal RNA, 336 nt
Filed under: uncultured Pseudomonadota bacterium
Lineage: Bacteria; Pseudomonadati; Pseudomonadota
Description: bacterial SSU rRNA
Rfam family: Bacterial small subunit ribosomal RNA
Source: RNAcentral
AACGAACGCUGGCGGCGUGCCUAACACAUGCAAGUCGAACGGGAUUGAGGGGCUUGCUCUUCAAUCUAGUGGCGCACGGGUGAGUAACGCGUGGAUAAUCUGCCCUGGUGUCCAGGAUAACAUUUCGAAAGAGGUGCUAAUACUGGAUAAGCCCACGGGGUCUUCGGACCUUGCGGGAAAAGGUGGCCUCUGAAUAUGCUACCGUAUCAGGAUGAGUCCGCGUACCAUUAGCUAGUUGGCGGGUAACGGCCACCAAGGCGACGAUGGUUAGCUGGUCUGAGAGGAUGAUCAGCCACACUGGAACUGAGACACGGUCCAGACUCCUACGGGAGGCUG